UAGGGAAUCUUCGGCAAUGGGGGGAACCCUGACCGAGCAACGCCGCGUGAGUGAAGAAGGUUUUCGGAUCGUAAAGCUCUGUUGUUAAGGAAGAACGAGUGUGAGAAUGGAAAGUUUAUACUGUGACGGUACUUAACCAGAAAGGGACGGCUAACUACGUGCUAGCAGCCGCGGUAAUACGUAGGUCCCGAGCGUUGUCCGGAUUUAUUGGGCGUAAAGCGAGCGCAGGCGGUUAGAUAAGUCUGAAGUUAAAGGCAGUGGCUCAACCAUUGUAGGCUUUGGAAACUGGUUAACUUGAGUGCAGAAGGGGAGGGUGGAAUUCCAAGUGUAGCGGUGAAAUGCGUAGAUAUAUGGAGGAACACCGGUGGCGAAAGCGGCUCACUGGUCUGUAACUGACACUGAGGCUCGAAAGCGUGGGGAGCGAACAGG
RNAcentral lists this ribosomal RNA (429 nucleotides) under Bacteroidota bacterium. RNAcentral's name for it is "Bacteroidetes bacterium partial 16S ribosomal RNA". It matches the Rfam family "Bacterial small subunit ribosomal RNA", at positions 355 to 776 of the family's 1533-position model. Lineage: Bacteria; Pseudomonadati; Bacteroidota. The record is from RNAcentral.